This 258-nucleotide ribosomal RNA is filed under the name uncultured prokaryote. RNAcentral describes it as "partial 16S ribosomal RNA". It matches the Rfam family "Bacterial small subunit ribosomal RNA", at positions 521 to 777 of the family's 1533-position model. The record is from RNAcentral.
UAAUACGUAGGGGGCGAGCGUUGUCCGGAUUUAUUGGGCGUAAAGAGCUCGUAGGCGGUUCGGUAAGUCGGAUGUGAAAUCUCCACGCUCAACGUGGAGGGGCCAUUCGAUACUGCCGUGACUCGAGUCCGGUAGGGGAGUGUGGAAUUCCCGGUGUAGCGGUGAAAUGCGCAGAGAUCGGGAGGAACACCCGUAGCGAAGGCGGCACUCUGGGCCGGUACUGACGCUGAGGAGCGAAAGCGUGGGGAGCAAACAGGA